This 253-nucleotide ribosomal RNA is filed under the name uncultured bacterium. Its description in RNAcentral is "partial 16S ribosomal RNA". It matches the Rfam family "Bacterial small subunit ribosomal RNA", at positions 524 to 776 of the family's 1533-position model. The record is from RNAcentral.
UACGGAGGGUGCAAGCGUUAAUCGGAAUUACUGGGCGUAAAGCGUGCGUAGACGGUUAUGUAAGUCGGAUGUGAAAGCCCCGGGCUCAACCUGGGAAUUGCAUUCGAGACUGCAUAGCUAGGAUGCGGAAGAGGGAAGUGGAAUUUCCGGUGUAGCGGUGAAAUGCGUAGAUAUCGGAAGGAACAUCAGUGGCGAAAGCGACUUCCUGGUCCAGCAUCGACGUUCAGGCACGAAAGCGUGGGGAGCAAACAGG